This is a long non-coding RNA of Eriocheir sinensis (Chinese mitten crab), 1668 nucleotides long. RefSeq lists it as uncharacterized. The transcript is spliced from 5 exons. The record is from RefSeq and is a predicted model, not a curated record. Lineage: Eukaryota; Metazoa; Arthropoda; Malacostraca; Decapoda; Varunidae.
AUGAACAUGAUACCUUUCCAUAGAUGGUAUGCACGUGACGUCACGAUCCCAUGUAAACAAUAACAAACCGCUGGCUGGCUGUGGCAACCGCGAACGCCACAACAAUGGUUAAAUCAACUAAAUAUGAGAGGCAGGAAGGAAAGACGGCCUACACUUACGACUUUCGUGCUUUCUGCCCGUGCCGUCCCUGUCUCGUAUUCCUCUUUUUCCUGCUGGCUCCCAGCUACCAUCUAUAGUGGCAGAAAAAGCGAAAAUAUAUGCAUGAGACUGUUAAAGCAUAUAAAUCACAUUGACUCGACCAGAAAACAAACCGCAGCUCCUUGGGAGUUGACGACGUAAACACUGACAUGUGCACUGUUAAUACGUCGCCGAGACUUCAGCGGCGAGAGGAAUGGCGAGCAUGCAUUCUUGUCGAAAUGGUUGCAGGACCGCUUUUCUACUGAGGCUUGUCAAACUUUCCUAUACGAGGGAGAAGACCCGCGGUCGGCUGUUUGUCAAUUUGAAUAGACAUGCUACGACGGCUACUGCGCCCGACAAAGUAUCCUUGCCUGCCCAAACCUAGGACGGCUGCAACCCCCGCGGCCAUUGCCCCGGCUCGUACACCUGUGGGCAUGUUGGGCGCGACGAGACCUUCCCAAGACUGUGUUGAGGAGCUGAGGCGGGAGAGGGCCCGAUGCUCCUUCAACAUGGAGGAGUUAACAAAUCUCUUGGAUGGAGGGAAGCAGUGGACAUUUCGACGCAGAGAAAUUGAGCAGCUGAUGUGCAGUGACUCAGUUUUUGAGGAUGAGAUUCCUACCGAGUACCUGAGCCACGAAGAACUCUACGCUAACGACUUACGCAAGGUUACACACCUGCUCAGGAAGCUGACAGACCUAAACAUUUCCCAAAGAGAACUGAGCUCAACUAUGGCCCUUGAACUUCUGAGAGAUGGCAACCCUCUUGGCAUCCACAUGUUCAUGUUCUCCAAUGCACUGCAGUGGCUGGCAUCCCCUGAGCAGCAGCAGAAGUGGCUCACUAUGUUUGACAAGAACAAGAUAUUUGGAACAUAUGCACAGACUGAGAUGGGUCAUGGUACUUUCCUAAGAGGGCUGGAAACAACGGCAGCCUAUGAUUCAAAGACCCAGGAGUUUGUGCUCCACUCGCCCACCAUUACCUCAACAAAGUGGUGGCCUGGAGGAUGUGAGGCACUAGAAUAGAUAACUGCAUAAUGUGUGAAUGUUAUAUGCAUAAAACAUUUGUACUAGGAUGUAUGUAUCCUGAUACAAGUAAUACUUUUAAGUUUGGCUGUAAUUUCAUUUCGUAUUAUAAUCAGUAAUUAAUCACUUGUAUAUUUAUAUAUUUAGAAGUUUUAGCACUUUUCUUUCGUCCUCUCCUCCACCGAGUCAUCCGCCACUGGAACAUUCUUCCCUCAGAAGUAGUAAAUGCGAAUACCAUCAACUCCUUCAAAUAUAGAAUCGACCGUCAUUUCGCUGCGUCGGGAGUAAACUGAAUAACGAGGGGCUUCCAUCUGCUCCUCAAUAUCGAGGUGCUUUCAUCUGCUCACCAAGCCCCAAGUGGCGGUCGAGCAGAUUAAAUCACCCAAGCGGGCGACCUCGUAAUGAGCCAAUAGGCUUUCUGUUGCCUGCAUUUCCAUGUUUCCAUGUUUCCAUGUUUCCUUCUUUACCUAGA